GUCCCAGUGAGGAUUCUAUGACCAUAGGAAGUGCCGUAUGACACUUUAAACAGCAGCUGCUUUUCUCCUUUGCAAGUGUCCAUCCAUCGACCAUAACCUUUGUGGUUUGGUCUGGGAUGGAGUACCCAUUUGCAAUUGGUUUAAUUCGGCUGUGUGUGUGAUUUUAAACGGGUCUCUGAGGGAU
Non-coding RNA from Oryza meridionalis, 184 nucleotides. The record is from Rfam. NCBI's taxonomy places the organism in Eukaryota, Viridiplantae, Streptophyta, Magnoliopsida, Poales, Poaceae.